Non-coding RNA from Podarcis lilfordi (Lilford's wall lizard), 10644 nucleotides. The record is from the annotation of a GenBank genome assembly. Lineage: Eukaryota; Metazoa; Chordata; Lepidosauria; Squamata; Lacertidae.
CAUUCCUUGAAGGCCUAGUCUACUGCCUCUGUGGAUCCUGCCACCUGAGGCAGUCACCUCACCUUGUCUCAUGGUUCAGCGAGGAGUUCCUCAGUUCAUCAUUCAAGAUACUCCGUUCUAUUUUCCCUGUAAUGAACCACAGCUUUCCAUGCCUUACUGAGCAUGGUAAGACAGGCUGCUUUUUAUUCCUUUUUUGGUUUUUGCUCCCAUAGGUGUUCUCUCUCUCUAAUUGUUGUUGUUGUUGUUUUACUUCGGCAACCCUUGACGUUUCCCCAUGCAGGUCUGUGGGGGUGCCAUUUUGGCGGCGGUAAGUCCUGCCACUUGGAGAACUGAGAUCACUGUUAAGAUAUGGUUACCAGAUUUUUUUCAAUAAAUCCGGGGACACUUUUGUUUUUUUUUUAAGCUGAGUAGCAACAGGGACGCGGGUGGGUGGUGCUGUGGGUUAAAACACAGAGCCUAGGACUUGCCGAUCAGAAGGUCGGUGGUUCGAAUCCCCGCGACAGGGUGAGCUCCCAUUGCUUGGUCCCUGCUUCUGCCAACCUAGCAGUUCGAAAGCAUGUCAAAAUGCAAGUAGAUAAAUAGGUACCGCUCCAGCGGGAAGGUAAAGGGCGUUUCCAUGCGCUGCUCUGGUUCGCCAGAAGCGGCUUAGUCAUGCUGGCCACAUGACCCGGAAGCUGUACACCGGCUCCCUCGGCCAGUAAAGCGAGAUGAGCACCGCAACCCCAGAGUCGGCCACGACUGGACCUAAUGGUCAGGGGUCCCUUUACCUUUACCUUAGCAACAGGGAAUCAGUAGUGGAGAUGGUGAGGCAAAAGACCCUGGGCCCAAGUACAUAUGCAUAUUGUAUAAAGGCACAAAGCCCUUCUUUCGAACCCUGUGAAACAUAAAUGUGCAGUUUUUUUUAAAAACUGGGCAACGGUGCUCCCCUGAUCUCCUGCCCCCUUCCUCCUUUGUUUUGACUGAUCGGGGAGGCUUGGGAGUCACAGGUGGGUGGCUGUUGCCCAGUUUUUUUUUAAAAAAAACCUCUGCACAUUUAUGUUUCACAGGGUGCAAAAGAAGGGCUUUGCACCUUGCCUGGCAGAGAAACCAUGCGCCUUCUGCCCCUCCUGGGCGGCGCCUGCCCACCCGUGACUCCCGAGCCUCCCCCGAUCUGUCAAAACAAAGGGGGAAGGGGGCAGGAGAUCUGUACCACCGGACGUCCCUGGUUCCCCUUCAGUAGUGGCGGGGGCAGCAAGCAGCUCCUGAAGCCAGCCAGAGCCAACUGCGCUACCAGGCCGGCUCUGGGCUGCUGAGGCUGCUACUGCCACGUUUCCCGGGGACAGAUUUGCAAAUCCGGGGACUGUCCCUGGGAACUGGGGAUGUCUGGUAAACCUAUGUUAAGAUCUUCAGCGAUGUUUUCUGUUUGAAAUUCAGACCAGAACCAUGAGGCUUAAAAAAAAGUAUUCCAAAGCUUUAAAAACAAAACAAAAAAACACCCUCCGAUUUAUGAUGUGCUUUUAUUUUAUUUUGUUAGGAACAUUGAAUAAAAUCAUUAAACAAAGCAUUGCCAAACACAAAUGCCAAUGGGAUAAAAACAGCCGCACUCCUGGACAACGUUGCCUCAUGCAUUUCUCAGAUGAGGCAGUGAGGCUUUGAAUUGUGACUUUUGCGUGGUUUUUCCAUGCGACAUUUGAAGUUUUGUUCUCAUGCAAAUCAUCCCGACGGGAACAUCUGCACACUUUACUGGAUGCCAGUUCCAUGAGAGCUGAUGACUCCUGAUCAGGCACAGAGCUCAGGGGGGUAAGGAAAUAAGUGGGAGAGGAGACGUCUGGGUGUUUGGUUAGUGAGGAGCAAAAGGAAAGAAAGAAAGGGCACUGGAAUGUGUGGAAUUAGGCGUGUUUGUUUGUUUAUGGGAGGGGGUGGAGUUACACUGAGGUUUGGGAGUACUGACCAAAACAAAAUGCCUUAUACCAAUAUCUAUACCUAUAGAACUUGUAUAGUUCCAUAUAAAAUCCAUUCGCCUUGCAGAAUACUUAAAGUGAGAUUUUAGGGCAGGCCAAUAAUAUUUUGACGCUUGAGGUGAAGGAAGGCAUCAUGCAGAAGUCAAGUGAAUUGGCAGUUGAAUCUUGCUUCACCUUUGGUGACAGGACAGCAUUGUCUGCCACACCUGAGGCAGCAGGCCAGAUUAGGGACAACAGAGGUAAUUGGCGGGGAGUCUGUCCAUUUUGGUUCAUCUCAGUUUCUCAUUUUUCUACUCUUAAGUUUAGGUCUUUUACACAUUCUGGCCCAGUUUGCAUUUUUAAAAGAAGUCCUCAUGAAAACCCACCAGCAUUUUACUGCAAAAUUCUCCUAAUAUACAUAUUUGAAUGCAAUCUUGUUUAAUAUGCAAAGCAGAUGCCCACAAUACAAUGCAUUUCUGCAUGUCCUUUUUUUUUGACUAGUGUCACCUUACUUCAGCGUAUGCAUUUUUGUAAAUGGUACUUGCCUGGAGAAGUGCAACUUGCAGCUUUGCUUCAGUCCUCAUCUUGUUUCGAACAGUGAAAGUUAGGCAAGUUUGCAUUUAAAUGCGAAUGGAAUCAAUUUUCUGCCUCAUCUCUAUUUCUGCCAGAGGUAGUGGCUUCACUUUGGCUAACAGCAGGGCCAAACUUCGGACCAGGUUGUGAAGCUAUUAUUAUUAUUAUUAUUAUUAUUCAUUAUAUUUACAGCCCUCCAUCUGUAGAUCUCAGGUCAGUUCACUGCAUAAAAAUACAACAUACAAUUUACAUCACACUGGCACAUUCUUAAAACAACCAGGCGUGGUAUAGACAUUUGGAAUAAUGAACACAACAGACUUUGGAAUUGUUAAAACGACUUACUGGGUCACUAGGUUGCUGUUAAAUUUCAAAAUGGCCUCUUACCUCUGAGCUGGGAACAAAUUUGCCACAUAGCUUCAUGUAUGUAGUUAAAAAAAAGAGUCAUACUGAUUAUCAAUAUUGUCUAUCAGGAAACUUAAAAAACACAUAGUUCUUUCCCCAAACGUCAUGACAAAAGUUGCUAUGUGCGAUACAAGCAGCAGUAAAAUAGGUAGCAUAGUGCCCCCUGCUGGACAAAAGUAGCAUAUUUUGAAUCUAAAGAGAAGGCAGAAAAUAAAGAUAGUUAAGAUUCGUGACUGUGUGGCAUCCUCCUUCCUUCUUUGAAUGGAAUAUAACAAGCAAGAGCUGCUUCACACAGAGGCUGUUAUGGUAUGGAUAUUAACACAGCAAAAAGCCCUAUUAAACACAACACAGCUCUUGUGCAAUUCGAAGCCAAACCACGACUCAGUGUGGAAGUAUGAGGGUGAGGGUUGCUGGAGAGGAGCAUAUUGUGGUCACUGGUUCUUCUGACGCUGGCGGGUCUCACCUUUCUCUUGCCACAUGUGCUCCGCUUACGUGGCAUUGACCUGAGCAGGGAUGAGAAACCUUUUGCACCCUGGCGACUACAUUCAUUUCUGGGCACCCUUUUGAGGACUGCACGCCAUUAGUGGGUGAAGCUACAGGCAGAAAUGGGUGGGACAAUUGAUAUAAAUUGUUCUAUUGUACAGGCAACCCACUCCACCCCCAUUUAUGCACGGGUUCUGUUCUGGGCCAUAGCGCAUUGGUAGAGCAUGUGGAAGCCCACCUGCCCCAUUCCACCCUGGCCCUGCCCCCAUUCUGUCCAGUUCCACUCCCAUUCCACCUUCUUCCCAUGCCAAACAUGGCACGCACAACAGUCCCAGCGCCGUAAGCACUGCUGGUGAAAUCUGAGGGAAGAAAGUGCCCGAGGCCUGGGACCCAACGACGUCCCUUCAGGACCUCAGGAUUUGGAAAUGGCUGGUGAUAGGUUGAGUCUGCAGGUACUCCGAAAGAUAGGGAGGUGAUUUUGAAAAAUGCAUUUACAGUGGACGCUCGGGUUGCGAACGUGAUCCCUGCAGGAAGCACAUUCGCAACCCACAGCGUUCACAACCCGCAGCGCCGCGUCUGCGCACGCGUGGGUCACGAUCCAGCGCUUCUGCGCAUGCCCAAAGCGCGGUUUAGCGCUUCUGCGCAUGCACAAAGCACCGAAACCCAGAAGUAACCCAUUCUGGUACUUCCGGGUUCGGCGUGGUGUGCAACCUGAAAUCGCGCAACCCAAAGCAUCUGUAACCCGAGGUAUGACUGUAUUACACCGAGUUGAGUAUUCAGCUAUCUGUGCUUGUAGGUAGCCUUGCAUUGGAAUGGGUCUUUAAGGUAUGGGAGAAGGCUGUUUUAAGAUAUGGGAGAAUGGCACAUAGCAGCACCCGUAGGGAUGACAAAUGAGGAAGUAGGCGAGACGGGGCGUGUGUGGAGAUUUACUUGGGGCAAUGUCAUUAUCCAAGGGGCUGGGUUCUAUAGCCUCUCUCUGUAAAUACUGAAUAAAAAUAGGACGGUAAGAAACAUUCACUUGUCUUUGUACGUUCCUGGGCAAGCAGCCAGGAGUUGGUGGCAGCAGCCUGACACUUGGAAGCCACUGGUCUAGGAGGGAUAUCUAUAUAUCUAUGUCAUCUAUAUCUAUAUCAUCUAUAACCAGUUGGCUCUUUCUUUCUUUCUUUCUUUCUUUCUUUCUUUCUUAAAACAGUUUCCAGAGACAGAUUUGAAUGGCAAGAGAUCUGUGGUUGGUUCCACCCACCACUAACUUUCCUGGUCAUGAGCAGCAACCGUACCAAGCUAUUUGGUGGUAGAACUGAGCCCCCACCAAGAAUAUUUGCUGUGUGUCUUACAUAAUCCUGAAAACUAUAAAGAUGAGAGACAUUAACUAACAUGUGUGUUGCAUUAGCAGGCAAAUGGAAUAUCUUUCAUGUGCAAUACUCCAUAGUAAGCUAACAGCCUUGAAAUGACCUCAUCCAGUAUGUAUUUUUGGCCUUAGAUCAGCAUGCGCCGCCCUGCAUGGCCCUUUUAAAGGUUCUGCACAGUAAAUCUACAUUUCAUAGGAAAAGGCUCAUGACUCACCUACUGUAAAUUUCUGUUUCCCUGCAUGCCUUUGCACAGAAGAUCUUUGUCUGCCUGCUGUAAAUAAUUGGCUUGGCUGCCGGCCUCCAUUGUUACUUCCUGUGACUCAAAUUAAUUGAGACACAACUGAUGCCGAAGCCUGAAACAAGAGCUACUCCAAUGGAGUUUUUAAACUGACUAACAGCACACCAUUUAGACAUCAAUUCCAAUUAGCUCCACGACUGACAGCCCUUUCCUACAUUCUACUUCUGUUCUUCUGUGCAUUCUUCUUUGCUAAAAAAAUAAUUUGAUUUAUGAAGACUCCAUUUCCUCAAGUGGCUUGUGAUGGGGCUACCAAAACUAGACCCAUAGGUGGUUGGGCACAGUGGAGAGAAGUCUUCUUAACUGCAGUCUUCUGGCACACUCUGUUUAAUCUCCCCUGUGCCAAGGAUUUCCAUGCACUGAUGUGCUUUAAAAUGUUAGAGUAAGUUCUCUACACUUUCAUGGUUAAGGCACGACUCAUCGCUGCUAGCAGAUCUUGUGUCUGCAUUCUUGCUGCAGAACAUGGAGUCUUGUUGGAGUUGUUCCAGGUACAGCUAGUUCAACUAACCCUUUGCAAGAACCUAGAAACCAGGAAAAGCUAUGGUUUUCCCAGUAGUGAUGUAUGGAAGUGAGAGCUGGACCAUAAAGAAGGCUGAUCGCCGAAGAAUUGAUGCUUUUGAAUUAUGGUGCUGGAGGAGACUCUUGAGAGUCCCAUGGACUGCAAGAAGAUCAAACGUAUCCAUUCUGAAGGAAAUCAGCCCUGAGUGCUCACUGGAAGGACAGAUCGUGAAGCUGAGGCUCCAGUACUUUGGCCACCUCAUGAGAAGAGAAGACUCCUUGGAAAAGACCCUGAUGUUGGGAAAGAUGGAGGGCACAAGGAGAAGGGGACGGCAGAGGACGAGAUGGUUGGACAGUGUUCUCAAAACUACCAGCAGGAGUUUGACCAAACUGCGGGAGGCAGUGGAAGACAGGAGUGCCUGGCGUGGUCUGGUCCAUGGGGUCAUGAAGAGUCGGACAUGACUAUAUGACUAAACAACAACAAGAAACCAGGAAAACACUGCGUGGUCCACCAGACAAUGGCCAUUGACCCAGCAACCAGGGCCAUCUUUACCUGGUGGUGUAAGGGGCGUGGGGAACCCAGGCACCAAAUUCUCGGGGGUGCCAGCUGCCUCGCGGCCAGCCAAGCACUGAGAGGAGCUGCAGGAGACUGCAGAGAGGCGGAGGAGGAUGACAGGGAAGGUGAGGGAAAGCGGCGGCGGCAGCAGCAGUAGCAGCAGCAGCAGCAAGGGGAAGGAGUGUCUCUGCCUCCACUGGGAAGCGACUCUCUGUGAAAUCAGCAAAGAUCUUGUAUCUGAUGUGGUGGCGCCCUAGAGAUUUGCUGCCCUCACCUUCCUCAUUGUCCUCCUCCACCUCUCUGCAGUCCUCCUGCAGCUCCUCUCAGUGUCUGCCAGCCGCAAGGCAGCCUCUUCCCCGCCACAGGGGCUCAGGAUGAUGGCCAAGGAGUGCGGGGCAAUUUGGGGCGCUGGGCGGAUCUUUGCAUCCCUGUGGCACAUAUGCUAAAGAUGGCCCUGCCAGCAACCUUUUGGGGGUAUUUUUCUCAUGAGUUUGCUAUUUAUGAUUUGUAGUAUUGUCAGAAGUGCAAACAGGUAAAUGGAUCUUUUCCCCUUUUCCUUUUUUCACACGUGGUGGACUUGCAAGAAAGCAAGGGCAUUUUGGGAAAUGAUACACAAUGAGAUAAAAAAAAAGAUAUUUAAAGUGAUUGUAUAUAUAUAUAUAAAGGGAUGCUGGUGGCACUGUGGGUUAAACCACAGAGCGUAAGACUUGCUGAUCAGAAGGUCGGCAGUUCGAAUCCCUGCGACGGGGUGAGCGCCCAUUGUUCGGUCCCUGUUCCUGCCAACCUAGCAGUUCGAAAGCACAUCAAAGUGCAAGUAGAUAAAUAGGUACCGCUCCAGCGGGAAGGUAAACGGCAUUUCUGUGUGCUGCUCUGGUUCGCCAGAAGUGGCUUAGUCAUGCUGGCCACAUGACCCGGAAGCUGGCUCCCUUGGGCAGUAAAGCGAGAUGAGCGUCGCAACCCAGAGUCGUCCACGACUGGACUUAACGGUCAGGGGUCUCUUUACCUUUACCUAUAGAUAUAAAAAGCUUAAAAUGUUUUUGUUAGGGGAUUAUAGGGGUAAAAAUCCCCACCCCAAAUGUUAAAGCUGUUUAUAUAUGUAAUAACAGCAGCUAGGAUUCUAUAUGUGCAGAAAUGGGAGGAAGGAGACAUUCCAAUGAAGGAAGAAUGGAUAAGUCAAGAUAAUGGACUAUGCAGAAUUGGCAAAAUCAACAGCAAAAUUAAGAGAAUCUAACAAAGAGUGUAUUAUGGAAGAAUGGGUGCCUUUUUUGGACUAUUUAAAGAAAUAUUAUAGUAUGAUGAACUCAUGAGUAGGCUUUGAGCUAUGGCAACAGAAGUAAUUAGAUAAUAAUAUUGUGGUUAUGAUUUGAUAGAAGUUUGGUGGCAGCAGCAGGAGAGAAACAACUCCAUGGAGAAAGGGGUGGGAAGUCGACAAAAACAAGAGAAAAGACAAAAUUGUGUUUUGACUGCAUAAGCUAAAAGUAUCGAAACGGAAUAAAAUAUAAUAAUAAUAAAAAAGAUUUGUAGCCUUGUCUUUUACAAAAACAAGCAAAACGUAAAUAGAUUAUGGUAGUGAAUAUGUGUCUUUUUGUCUAACUAGGUGUGGUGGAGUUAAGUCUGAUCAUCAAAUUAAUAAUAAUGACAAAAAGUUGAUUUCUUCAUUAUAAGAUCCCAGGGCAGGUAACAAGAAUGUCAAAAAAUGCAAUAUUAAAACACAUCAUGGCCGUUAUAGUCAAAGUCCUUGGCCGAAUUUUGACACGAAAGGCCAUCUGGCAGCAGGAUUGCCUGCCUGAACUUGUCCGAAGUGAUCUAAUACGAAUCCUAAUCAAUACAGUUAAAGCCCUAAUUUCAAAUCCAAUAUCUUUAUUAGGCUCUGAGGGAGAAUGGCUGGGGUUAUUUCAUUUUACUGGCCUUUCCAUGCCACUUUCCUUUCAGCAGAGGGCGCUGUAGGAGAAAGAAUCCUGACAAGGAUCCGGUAGCUGGAGCAAAUAAAAGGGGAUGUGUCUGAAGUCUGGGCUGUGUGAGGCGACUGCAGAAAAAGACUCUUGCCGCUCAAAUGUCAAAUCAACAUGGAGGCAAAUCAAGCUAUUUGUUUCCCUUGCCCCCUGUCCCGCCUGGAGAAUAAGCCUUCUGGUGGUGGUUCCACGAGCUCAUCUAUCACGAGGAGCAAAAACGUUUAGAGGGUUUGAUCUUGCCUUGGUGUAGCCAAUUAAAAAGUUUACACAAACCAUCUCCUCCUCACGGAAGGGGCCCCAUUAGCUGACACUUUGGACAGCUCCUGCAAUUUGUCUUUCUUCUAGGGACGGCUUCCACAAUUUGUCUUUCUUCCGAAGGGUGAAACGCCAGCCUUUUCCUUCUAAUGAGGUUCGGCUGCCGUUAAAAAUAAUAAUAUUUUAUUUUAUUUUUUUAAAAAGGAAGUUGUUUUGGAAUCAAAAUAUGAAUACAGUAUCUCUGCAUACAGUAUAUUAAUCCUUCUAACAACAUGGCAGUCUGCCAACUUCUUGGAUAAUUCCGCCCUUAUUCCUUUUAGGAGAUGGCUGACUGCACAUUUGUGCAACUCUUAUGAAAGGAGAGGGUUUUCCCCUCCUCCUCUAGAGGGGUCUGCCAAUGACAUCUGCAGCUCAGUUGCUCACCACCUUAUAUUGCCUUGCCAAAGUCCCCCUGUCCCAAAUGCAAAAGGUAGUUUAAGUAAGAGGCAAGCGCCUACUUUCCAUUUUUCUUUUUCUUUUGUUGUUGCGUGUGGCCAAUUUAAUUCCCUUCCAAAUCUCAUUUGCGCAGACUCUCUAACAGUGAUAAUAUCCUCUUUUGAACUGAGUAUGAAAAUGGGGGGGGGGAGAGAGAGAGGACGUGGAGAGGAGUAAACAAAACACCACUUAUAUUCACAGACUGGGGUCCUUCCUUUCUGAAUCGUAUGCCUGUUCUCGAAAGGAAUCAGCAGCAGUGGCUGUGAUCCAGGGGGAAAAAAGAAGAACGCGAAAGGGAUUCGCUUGUGUGCCUUUCUGCAGGGAGAUAGCAAAUCCUUGCCUAGGCGAUGUAUACAAUUAUCUGGAUGAAAGAGGCUUACAAAUGAGGAACAAGUCCUCCAAUUGUCAUUCGGUAACCAUAUGAUAUAUAUGGUGCGCGCGCACGCGCACACACACACACACACACACACACACACACAGAAGAAGGGGUUUUCUAAUUGCCAUUCUGGAAAUAUACACUGCAUAUAGAUAAAUGCACACAGAGCUGGCUUGCAGAAGAAAGCCUCUAGACUGCAUUGAUAGAGGAGGAAUCUCAGGCCAAAGGGUUCCUCUGUAGAUCUCUCUGUCUGGUCCUCCUGACUCUCCCCCAAGCAGGUCACAUCCCUCAUUGAUCCUGCUUCUUUGCACUCUCUCUUCGUAAAACAUAUACUCUUUAUUUCUUAAUUUCCCCCACAAAUAUAUAGUUCAGUGCCAUAUUAUGCAAGCAGUACCUUAAAAACACUACAGUACACAGCUGCCAGUAGUUUGAAGGGGAGGAAUCAUGGGAAGGGGUCAUAGCUGUCAAGCGUCCCUUAUUUGGCGGGACAGUCCCUUAUCCCAGCUCCAUGUCCCGCUGCUGUCCCUUAUUGAUGAUGUCCCUUAAAUAAGCUACUGAAGGUAAUGGGGCCCUUUCUAUGUCCAGCUGUCCUUUGUCAACAACAAAUUGUUGCUGUUUUUUUGUGUUGAAUAUAUGCUAUAUGGUAAUUUAUGGACCUAAUAGGUAUCUAAAGCCAUUUGCACGCAACAAAAUAUGUAUUUUAUCAAAGUAAUUGUUGAUCCCUUAUUUUGGCUGCUGAUCCCUUAUUUUUGAGGCUGCUGGUCCCUUAUUUUCAAAUCUGUAAGUUGACAGCUAUGGAAGGGGUCAUGCACUUUGCACUUUCUUUGAGUGUUUUUGUCUGGCUGGACUAUGUCCUUGAGAUCGGACAAUGCCUUAUGGUUGCCUAGAUGGAGGAUAGAGAAACUGUCCUACUGUACAAGGGUAAAAUUCACAUUCAUUGCUUUCUGCCAGCUCUUGCCUCUGACCAUGUCUGUUGUUUUUUUGUCUCUUGUCCUGCCUGUUGCUGGAAUGCGGUCUCUGGUAGGUUGCCCAGAAGCAGAUGUGGGCGUCAGACUGGAAUAUGUGUUAGAUCAACCUAACAUCAUGUAUCUCUCAGCAGCUCUACUUGGAGAUACCAGGAAUUGAACUGGAGAAGUUCUGCAUGCAAAACAGAAGCUCCACCAAGGAGCUACAGCCUUUCCCCAGACCUAUGGAGGCAGAAUCCAGAUGGGAAGCUUUGGCAGAACAAGCCAAAGAACAAGCCAGAACAAGCCAUACCUGAGCUUCUACAGAGUGGACACAAGUAGGAUGCUGGUACCUUUCACCUGGUCUGUAUGGGAAAGGUUCAUCCAUAACAGAAGUCAAAGAACUUUGAAUAGGAAAAGUCAGGAGCUGCACUUAAAAAAGAGAGAAAAUAAUAGUAAUAAUUUAUUAUUUAUACCCCGCCCAUUCCCCAGCCAGUCUGGGCGGCUCCCAACAGAAUAUUAAAAACACACUAAAACAUCAAACAUUAAAAACUUCCCUAAACAGGGC